Molecule: long non-coding RNA, 217 nt
Filed under: Sorghum bicolor (sorghum)
Lineage: Eukaryota; Viridiplantae; Streptophyta; Magnoliopsida; Poales; Poaceae
Description: long non-coding RNA (SBIC_LNC017201)
Source: RNAcentral
GACAAGCUCGUUGAACUGAUGAAUCACAGGCUCACUAUGUUAGGAGGGAUUCAGCACUACAACUGUAUAGUUGGUGGAGUACCACACUGCCUGACUCAGAUUGAUACACUCUCUAAGAAAGAUGAUGUCUUCAUUAUGUUGAUGUAUGCCAGGCAAUCUCUUAGAUUUAACUUGCAGUAUAUGGCUGCAGUGAAUGUACGUAGUCCUGAAUGGUGAG